Long non-coding RNA from Scylla paramamosain (green mud crab), 405 nucleotides. RefSeq lists it as uncharacterized. NCBI's taxonomy places the organism in Eukaryota, Metazoa, Arthropoda, Malacostraca, Decapoda, Portunidae. The transcript has 4 exons. The record is from RefSeq and is a predicted model, not a curated record.
GUUUGAUUAAGACAUCUAGGGUUGCUAGACGCUAGUGACGGUGUGGCUGCGGUGAGAGUUGAACGUGUGGAGGUCCGGGCGAGUUGUCAACAUGGGACAGAAGAUGGUAUCUGGAAGUGCAGGCACUACACACUGAUGGAUCCAGUGUGCGAGUCGUUGGCAGAACUAGAAGUUUACUGGUGUGUGAAGACUUUUUCUACAGGCGCAGGAGAACAGGGAAUAGCUGUUGCAGGUAGUGAAGUGUAUAUAUAUGGCUGUGGUGAUGAGGGCAAAGUUGUCCAGGGCUGCAGGCUGCGUGUUACGUUAAUGGCGAAGCUUGUUCGAUCUAGCCGGACUUCAUCUUUCUCCAGUUCGUCGUCACACCGCGACGUUGCUGCACACCACAAUUACAGUUGUUGUUGUUGU